Long non-coding RNA from Lynx canadensis (Canada lynx), 3082 nucleotides. RefSeq lists it as uncharacterized. The transcript is spliced from 2 exons. The record is from RefSeq and is a predicted model, not a curated record. NCBI's taxonomy places the organism in Eukaryota, Metazoa, Chordata, Mammalia, Carnivora, Felidae.
AGUCCAAGCACAAAUGUGGAUCACUGAAGACAGUACUGGAAGCGCCAGUUGCAGAUUUCUAGAACACUCCUGUGAUGAAUCAUGGCUUGUCAUGGUGGUAAAACUGAGGCCCUGAAUGUAAGACCAAAGGAAAAAAUGGUAUUCUUUGACCUGCUUUUCUUUGCUUCAUUUUUUUACCUGCUCCUGGACAUCUUCAAACUCUGAGCUGAGCAACUCUAUGAAGAUGGGCACAGCUCCUGCCUGAAUCACAAUCCGGGUCUGAAGAGAAUUUCCUGAAGCAAUAUUUGUCAGUACCCAAGCUGAUUCAAACUAUAAAGAUAAAAAUAAUUUUAUUAUCUUAUUAGCAUUUAAUAGCUUGUUUUUAGCUAUAACAAUAAGGUUUUCUGUACAUGAAGAAAAGAAUCUGAAAUCAUUAUUUGCACAUAAUCAGAUGGAUUCUGUAUUACUUUUAAAUGGAGAAUUCCAGUAGAAAUACUUCAGACUACAAGAAUAUUCAGGAGGUCAAAGUAGAACUGACAUAAGACCAUGAAUGGAAUGAGGGACUGCUUCAUAUGCUGACAUGAAUGAUCUCCCAAGAUACGAAUGAGAAGAAAAGUGUAAUGGUGUACAUUAAGACAGUAUCAUACUAUAUUUUCUAAAAGGGUUAAGAAGGAAUGUAUGCAUUAGUUUAGUUAUUGCACAGAAUAUCUCUGGAAGGAUACUAUAAGAAACUGUAAGAAGUAAGUACUUGUUACCUACAUGGAAAGGCAGGGGUGAAAGGGAAAUCUCAUAAAACCUUAUGUACCUUUUGGAUUAAACCAUGUAUAUUAUCUAAUAAAAAAUAAAAGUAAAUAAUUUCUAUAGGAUAAGCAAAGUGUAAAGGGGAGAGGAUGUUAAUGUAAAAUGUGCCAGAUAUAGGCACAGUAAAAAAGGCAAAAGAUAUUUUAAGUAAUAAGUAGGCCAAAAGGAGUUAACUGGUAUACAAUUAAUAGAAAUGGCAACUUCAGAGCGUUAAGAGCUUCUGACAAAUGAGAAGCCUCCAAACAAAGGCACAGAGUUUAAAACUUUUUUUAGAGAGCAUUCUUAAAGUUAGGUAAACUGAAGAUAUGAAGGAAAUUAUAGCCAACAAAAAGUACAGCAUUUUACUAAUCUGCCCAUCUCUGUAGUAAUUUGACUCUCUGGCCUAAUAUGGAGAAAUCCAAGAAUGACUCCUGAAAUUCUAUUUAAGAGUUCUUAUUAAACUUUAGUUUUCUUUCCUUCUCCUGUUCUAUCUUCUACUUAUCCUUAAAUGAAGCACAUAUGCAAAAAAAAAAUCAGUGGUAUGUCCCUUGAAAGGGAGAGCAAAAAAGUCAUUGAAAGGUGGAGCUGUGACUCUUCUAAAGCUUUUGGGUCAACUGAAAGGCAGUUGUCAUAUGGAAAACUAAAUCAUCCAUCAUUGGGGUUUGGGGAAGGAGGCAGAAGACAAGGAAGACAAUCUGAUUGGCAUAGUCCAAAGCCAUGUGAAUGCUAGCAAAUUCACAGCAGAACACACUUAAAGGAGACAUUACAAGAAACCUAUAAAUGUGACAUACGCAAGUGAGACACAGUAUAGUCUAGUAGCCUAACGGGACAAUGAUAUUACAGUAAGCAGAAGGCCCAGACUAGGAGCACCACAGUUAAAGGGACAAUAUUUUCUUUUUGGUAACUUUGUUAUAAGAGAAGUUCAACAGAUUCCUAAACACUUGAACAUCACAAAAUAAAAAUCCCAUCAUAUAUCACCUCCAUAAUUAAAUCACUCUUGAAACCAGUGCUGAAUUGAAACUUUGCAUUUGUUCAGUACUUUGUAUUAUGAAAGGAUUACUCACAUACUCCUGUGUUCCUCACAACAUCCCAGAGAAUUCUGGCUUUUGUGGUUUAUGAAUGAGGAAACUAUCAGAAAAAGGUCCAACAAGGACUUGAUUACCGUCUCCUGAUCAAGUAUGCUUAUGAAGCCCGGCCACUCCCUUCUCUCUGACACAUACCUGUAACACUGACAAUAAUCUUUCAAUUGCUUGGAGUUUUGGUAUCUAGGGCAAGAAAUUUCAAAUAACAGUAUGCCAGAGAUACACGCCAGAUUAUUUAGGGGAUGCUAAAAAAGAGAACGGUUCACCUAGUUUCUUCUGCUUUCUAGGAAAACUAACUAGCAGAGUUAAAAUUGAUUAAGAGAGACAGAUGAUGUGAAUACAAAAGCCAAAAGCAAGCCUUCCUACCAGGCAGCAAGCUCCAAGUUUAACAAAGAGUUGUCAGAUACCACGGAGACCAGUCAAAGUAAUGAAAACUGUGAGGAAAAAGCAGUGUGUAGAGAAUGAGUAAGAUCAGCAUACAUACCGAUCCAUAUUAAAGAGAAAACAGACUGCAGUGAGAUUUUGAUGCAAAUGAAAUAACAGCAACCUGAGUAAAGGAUUAUUAAAGAAUUAUCAAUGAGAAAAAAAUCAGAAUACUAACUGCUGCAAGACUUCAAACUGCUAUCUGCCUGUUGAUGUUUAGUAUCAAAGGUCUUACAAGAAAUGAGAGGGAAUUUCAGAUGCUACUGAAGAGAAUGAAAUGGAGAAGCAAAACAAAAUAGAGUGAAAAUGAUUAGAAAAAUGGGGAAUAAGUGAAUAACAGGCUAAACACAGAUGGGAGAAAAUUGGCAAUUAGGAUAUCUCAGCAAAAGAAGAACGUACCAGAAUUACCUUUAUUACUAAGAAGUACACAAUAAUGAUAACCUCUGAAAGCAAAAUUCAAGGCCUCCCUUGGUAAGAAGAGAAAUCGGAAAAUACCAGGGACAGAGACAGAUGAAGAUGAUCAACAGAACCGGAGGGGCGACUGAAAAUCGUGUUUGUACAUGAAUAAAGCAUUCUCUUUCUCUCACGCACACACAGUGAUUACUCUGACGUUUACCCUGUAAAAACUCAUCAAGCUAUAUUUAUGCCACUUUCUAUGCCCAUCUGUGUAUUUGUGUGCUAUGUACAUAUGUAGGAAUGAGAAAGAGGAGGGAGGAAGAAAAUUCCCCCCAGCAUACAGGCCCUGUUAAAGUGCUGGAAGAAACAACUUUCAAAUGUGUUUAAUAUGUAUGUUUGUAAAAAACUGGUUGUACUUCAAA